CUGUGCUAGUCUCUUUGGAUUCAAAAACAAAUAAGAUAUGGCCUCCAUUCUUGAUGAGCUCGAAAUCAAAUUUAGAAGACAAAUGUAAAAACAUUAUUAUCACGAAGGAUACGCUGACACAGCAAGAAGGCAGCCAUCUGAAAGCCAGGAAGAGAGCCCUUACCAGAAACCAAGCUCUGUUGGACCUUGUCCUUGGACUUUCCAGCCUCCAGAACAAUAUUAGAAACAAGAUGUGAAGAAAUUAAGAGAUGUCCAAGUUCGAAGAAGCCAGCUGUUAGUUCAGGCAAAGUCUUAUCUAGAGUGCAUCGUCAUCGUAUGCUCUGGGUUCUGAAUUAAACCUGAAAUGCAGGU
This is a long non-coding RNA of Symphalangus syndactylus (siamang), 351 nucleotides long. RefSeq lists it as uncharacterized. The record is from RefSeq and is a predicted model, not a curated record. NCBI's taxonomy places the organism in Eukaryota, Metazoa, Chordata, Mammalia, Primates, Hylobatidae.